Micropterus salmoides (largemouth bass) is the source of this 1798-nucleotide long non-coding RNA. RefSeq lists it as uncharacterized. NCBI's taxonomy places the organism in Eukaryota, Metazoa, Chordata, Actinopteri, Centrarchiformes, Centrarchidae. The transcript is spliced from 6 exons. The record is from RefSeq and is a predicted model, not a curated record.
GCAUCUUGAUGUCAUUCCCGAAGCCACAGAAAUUCAGGGCCUCGAACAAAGGUAACAUGUACACAUCAUAACUUUUAGCCCUGUAUUGCUUUUCUCCAAAUGUUCAUAAUAUCUAUUUGUAAUAUGUUUUUUGCAGCUUACAUGACAUGAGCAUUGUUGAGGAGGACUUGGAGGAAAAUGUUUUCACUGACCCAAUGAACAGUAGUAUUUCCUAAUUACAUGUAUUAUUUUUCCGUGAUAUUAUUUGAGAAAUUGUUUUUAUCUGAAAGUUGUCAUUAUGUAAAGAAUUGAUUGGGCAGAUGAAGCUUCAUCUUACUCCCUUGAAAGAGAUGAUGGACAGAAUGGUUUCAGCUCUGAUGAAGAGGAUCUUCCACCGAUUUCUAUACGGUGUGUUAUUUGUCAGUCUCAAUUUGCAAUUGUUUUGUGGUGUUUGUUUACUACAGAUUUUUGUGCCUCAAUAGAAUGGGUGGAGCACUGAAGAAAGCACACUCUAUCGAUGGACUUCCUUGCCUGCACAUGAAGACACUCCUGAUGAGCCUUCUCCCUGUGAUCAUGACCCUGUUUUCCCAGAACCACACAAUGUCCUUUGUGAAGAUGACGUACGGACAAGCUUACAUCAGAAAUAAAGCUAGUGGAGAUCUGCACAGAUGCUCAUGCCCAGAUUGGUGCACUUAUGAACCCAGACAAAGGCAAAUACAAGGCCCUUGGAAUUCAUCACUGUCUGGACAUAUGGCAUGGUGCGAAGAACCAUAGUCAACCAUUUUCUUGCAUUAUGGGUUGGCAUCCUUAACCAUGUCACAAUAUUCACACCUGGACUAUGGGAAGUUGCAAACACGGGCACCUUGAAUCGGAUCAAAUGCAGGGAAAGAUGUGGAUCCAGAGACUCCCAGUACCACAAAGCUUUAGUGGAUAUAGUUCUCGAUAAGAGGUGGCAGAAAGAUGUUCGCAACUAUCUGCGAUUCAGAUCGACUGCAGACCUAGAGUCAUUCCAGAAUCAUAUCCUGAUGUAUGCCAGCAAGCGCUUUGCUUUCAGCCCCCCAGUUUAUGAGGCAAGAGUUCUGCUUGCUGCUUUGUACUACAAUUUCCACCGGAACCGACCAACAAUGAAAACGUUGGACGGCAAAGAGACUUUCAGAAGAUUGUAUAAGAAGAACGGUAUGCCGUGAAAUCUGAAAGAACCUACGGAUACAUUUCUGAGUUGCAAAGAAGGAUUGUGAAGUACAGACUCACAAGUGGAGUGGGGAUGCCUAGAAGGAGGAGCCUUCUCCCAGGUGACCCCAGACAGCUUGGUUUGGUGCCCCCGUACCUGCACCAGCCACAUCAGACUUGUUGCAGAGACAAGUCAGAAGAGGUCUAGGACCGUUAUUCCAACCAGUAUCUGAUGUGGAAGGAUCCCCACAGGAGAUCACCUUGCAUGUGUCCUGGUACUUGUCAGGCAGGAUCACAAGGGAAAGAACUUCAGUUCACUGACAAAGUCAUAGCUUUUACUCUUCAAAAAGAGAAAUUAACAUUAAAUUCUGUUCCUACCCUCCUACAGUGGUUAUUUCAUGUUUUUCCAAUUUGUACACGUUUCAUCUUAUUCUGCUAAGUCCACUGUGACCAGCGCAUAUUAUUUUCAGUAGGUAGCCUAAAUUACAGUUUACAAUUUGAACAGUAAUGAUAAGUAAGGCUACAGCUACAGUCCCCUAUUAUGUAAAUAUAAAUAACUAAAAUAGGUAUUGGAAAUGUUAUGUAAGUUUGAAAUUCUAAACACAUGUUCAAAUGUAUAUAAUGAAAAUAAAAACAACAUGUGCUUCUA